This is a ribosomal RNA of Cricetulus griseus (Chinese hamster), 119 nucleotides long. NCBI's taxonomy places the organism in Eukaryota, Metazoa, Chordata, Mammalia, Rodentia, Cricetidae. The record is from Ensembl.
GUCUACAGCUAUACCACCCUGAAUGUGCCCCCAUCUUGUCUGAUUGCAGAAGCUAAGCAGAGUCAGGUCUGAUUAGUACUUGGAUGGCAGAAUUACAACAAUAAAAAGCCAUGUGGAUG